RNAcentral lists this ribosomal RNA (305 nucleotides) under uncultured bacterium. RNAcentral's name for it is "bacterial SSU rRNA". It matches the Rfam family "Bacterial small subunit ribosomal RNA", at positions 337 to 640 of the family's 1533-position model. The record is from RNAcentral.
ACCUACGGGACGCAGCAGUGAGGAAUAUUGGUCAAUGGUCGGGAGACUGAACCAGCCAAGCCGCGUGAGGGAGGAAGGUACAGAGUAUCGUAAACCUCUUUUGUCAGGGAACAAAGGCGGGGACGUGUCCCCGGAUGAGUGUACCUGAAGAAAAAGCAUCGGCUAACUCCGUGCCAGCAGCCGCGGUAAUACGGAGGAUGCGAGCGUUAUCCGGAUUUAUUGGGUUUAAAGGGUGCGCAGGCGGUCUGUUAAGUCAGCGGUCAAAGCCCGGGGCUCAAACCCGGCCCGCCGUUGAAAAUGGCAGG